ACGGGAAUCCAAGAGCGUAUGGUGGAUGCCUUGGCUAGAAGAGGCGAUGAAGGACGCAGCGUGGCGGCGAUACGCUUCGGGGAGGUGCCGAGCAACCUUUGAUCCGGAGAUGUCCGAAUGGGGAAACCCCAUAGAGUGAACCUCUAUGACGUAUGCACUAUUAGCAUACGAGCGCACCCUGGGAAGUAAAACAUUUCAGUACCAGGAGGAAAAGAGAUCAAUAGAUAUUUCGCAAGUAGCGGCGAGCGAAAACGAAACAGCCCAAACUCAAUCUAAAUCGUAUCGUGCGACAUGUCGUGCGAUUCGAUUUAGAUUGGGGGUAGUAAGGCGGAGACGUGCCAAUUUAUUGGCAGAGAAGUUACAAAAUUUUUUGUUAGGAGAAUGUGCUGGAAAGCACAGCCCCAGAGGGUGAUAGCCCCGUACUCGAAAAUAAAAAAUCUUCUUUGUUUCCGUUCUUGAGUACCUCGAGACACGAAUGGCUCGGGGGAAUCCGCCGGAACUAACCGGCAAGGCAAAAUACUCUUCUAGACCGAUAGUGAACUAGUACCGUGAGGGAAAGGUGAAAAGUAGCCCGGUAAGGGCGUUGAAAUAAACCUGAAACCAUAUGCUUACAAAGAGUCACGGCGGGUGUCGCAAGACAUCCGUUGUGGCGUGCCUAUUGAAGAAUGAGCCAACGAGUUUUAGCAACCUGCAGGCUAAGGUCGAGAGACCGGAGCCACAGGGAAACCGAGUGUGAAUAGCGCGUUCGUAGGUUGCUAAAGACCCGAAGCCAGGUGAGCUUGCCAUGAGCAGGAUGAACUUCCGGGAAACCGGGAGGAAGGUCCGAACGCUAGAGUUGUGCAAUUCUCUGCGAUGACUUGUGGUAAGGAGUGAAAAGCUAAUCGAACCUGGUAAUAGCUGGUUCUCUCCGAAAUAUGUUUAGGCAUAGCGUCGCGCGUUCCCCAGAGGGGUAGAGCACUGGAAGAUCUUGACAGGGCGAAAGCUCACAAGACCUAUCAAACUCCGAAUACUCUGGAUCAUAGCGCGGCAGUAAGUCCGUGGGGGCUAAGCUCCACCGGACAAAAGGGAAACAGCCCUUGAUCUCCAUUUAAGGUCCCUAAAUCCAUGUUAAGUACGCUUAAGGUGGUGGAAUUUCUCCGACAAUGAGGAUGUAGGCUUAGAAGCAGCCAUCAUUAAAAGAUAGCGUAACAGCUCACUCAUCGAGAGAUUCCGCGCCGCAGAUAAUCGGGGUUUAAACAUGGUACCGAAACUGAGGGCUUGCGAGUUCUUAGGAAUUCGCAAGCGGUAGGAGAGUUUUCUCGUCUGCGUUGAAGGCAAAGGCGUGAGCCAUGCUGGAGCGUCGAGAAGUAAGAAUGUUGGCACAAGUAACCACAAUGCGGGUGGGAAUCCCGCACGCCGAAAGACCAAGGUUUCCUUCGCAAUGUAAAUCAGCGAAGGGUUAGUCGAUCCUAAGGGGAUGACAAAUGUCGCACCCGAUGGAAGCACGGUUAAUAUUCCGUGACUUGUAUGUUAAACGAUGAAGGGACGGAGCAUAGUACAUAUGGCUCGUUAUUGGAUUUGAGUUCAUAGAGCGAAGAAUGAAAGUAGGAAAAUCCGCUUUCUGCCUUUAAUGGCGAUUCACAGCUUCGUGGAAAGGUUCCGGUUCGCCGGGACUGAUCAUAUCGAGCAUGCUUCCGAGAAAAUCUUCUAAGUAUAUUUUCAUACAAAUCGUACCGCAAACCGACACAGGUGGUCAGGGCGAGUAGCCCAAGGCGAACGAGUGAGAGGUCUUCAAGGAACUCGGCAAAAAAGCGGCCGUACCUUCGGUAUAAGGCCUGCCCCAUGUUAAGUCAUGGGGCCGCAGCUAAAGUUUCUCUGGCGACUGUUUAUCAAAAACACAGCUCCCUGCGAACUCGAAAGAGGAUGUAUAGGGGGUGACACUUGACCAAUGCCCGAAGGUCAAAUAGCGCCGUUGCGUGGUCGCAAGAUUACGUGGUGAGUGCUAUAAGCCCGGGUGAAUGUCGGCGAUAACUAUAAUCGUCCUAAGGUAGCGCAAUUCCUUGUCAGGUAAGUUCUGACGCGUUGAAAAGUGUAACGUCUGGAGAACUGUCUCGAAGACUCGCUCGGUGAAAAUACAGUAUCGGUGAAGAUGCCGAUUACCUGCAGUUAGACGAAAAGACCCUAGAAGCUUUACUGCAACUUGAUUUUGACUAUAUGUUCUUGAUGCGUAGCGUAGUUGGUAGGAUUUGAAGUUUACCUUUCGGGGUAGAUGGAUCCGACGAUGAAACACCAAUCUUUAAGAAUAUAUAGUCUAACCUGGCCGGCAAAAACGGCCAGAGACAGAAUCUGGCGGGCAGUUUUAGUGGGGCGCUAUCCUUGGGUGCAUCAAUCUUUUGAUUGGUACAUCCAAUCCGUGGCGCCUCGCGAAGUGUUCACUUCAAAACAAAUAAAAUAGGAGGACUUUGACUAGCAAUAGUCAUCGAAAAGUUAGCUAUAUGCUGGAAUAUCCGAGUAUCUUCAAGUACCUUGAGUUUAUCGAAAGGUAAAAAUCUUGAAGUGCGGACGAUCAGCAGGAAAUGCUUACUUGUACAUUGAAUAAUGGAAAGUAAUUGAUCUACGAAAACUAGUUAGAAAUGGGCUGUUUCCCACAGCUGUCAUAGGCUGGAACGAGCGACGAGCUUGUUUGGGGAAAUCCGAGAGUGGUUUCACUUAAUCGUGCUCUUUUAGGGAGUGAACGGAACCUCUGUUUUCUAAAUUAUCAGUUAACACCAUUAGUGACACGGGAUGAAUAUGAAUGGUUCCGUGUCACUUCCAUUAUUCAAUGUAUAAGUUUGCUUCCCCAGAGACUACACGCUAGCCGUCCAUUGACAGUUUGGGAUUUAUCCCGAGCCCGUCGAGGGAUGAUGAUAUAGUCCGAACUUACGGGCGACCGUAAGAGUGCGACAGAAAUGUUCGCAUCGUGUUCAAGCAUUUUGCCUU
This 2958-nucleotide ribosomal RNA is filed under the name soil metagenome. RNAcentral describes it as "bacterial LSU rRNA". The stretch from base 1 to 2494 matches the Rfam family "Bacterial large subunit ribosomal RNA". The record is from RNAcentral.